This 254-nucleotide ribosomal RNA is filed under the name uncultured bacterium. Its description in RNAcentral is "partial 16S ribosomal RNA". It matches the Rfam family "Bacterial small subunit ribosomal RNA", at positions 524 to 776 of the family's 1533-position model. The record is from RNAcentral.
UACGUAGGGUGCAAGCGUUAAUCGGAAUUACUGGGCGUAAAGCGUGCGCAGGCGGUUUUGUAAGUCUGUCGUGAAAGCCCCGGGCUCAACCUGGGAAUUGCGAUGGAGACUGCAAGGCUUGAAUCUGGCAGAGGGGGGUAGAAUUCCACGUGUAGCAGUGAAAAUGCGUAGAGAUGUGGAGGAACACCGAUGGCGAAGGCAGCCCCCUGGGUCAAGAUUGACGCUCAUGCACGAAAGCGUGGGGAGCAAACAGG